GGCCGCGUGGCCUAAUGGUUAGGGCGUCGGAUUUCGGUUCCACCCAUCGUAAAACUAUGGGUUCCCUACCUCCGAAGGAUGUGCGUUCGAAUCGCAUCGUGGUCG
The sequence is a transfer RNA, 105 nucleotides long. It matches the Rfam family "tRNA". From Rfam's summary of the family: Transfer RNA (tRNA) molecules are approximately 80 nucleotides in length. Their secondary structure includes four short double-helical elements and three loops (D, anti-codon, and T loops). Further hydrogen bonds mediate the characteristic L-shaped molecular structure. tRNAs have two regions of fundamental functional importance: the anti-codon, which is responsible for specific mRNA codon recognition, and the 3' end, to which the tRNAs corresponding amino acid is attached (by aminoacyl-tRNA synthetases). tRNAs cope with the degeneracy of the genetic code in two manners: having more than one tRNA (with a specific anti-codon) for a particular amino acid; and 'wobble' base-pairing, i.e. permitting non-standard base-pairing at the 3rd anti-codon position. The record is from Rfam.